RNAcentral lists this ribosomal RNA (500 nucleotides) under uncultured bacterium. RNAcentral describes it as "partial 16S ribosomal RNA". It matches the Rfam family "Bacterial small subunit ribosomal RNA", at positions 30 to 523 of the family's 1533-position model. The record is from RNAcentral.
AUUGAACGCUGGCGGAAUGCUUUACACAUGCAAGUCGAACGGCAGCACGGACUUCGGUCUGGUGGCGAGUGGCGAACGGGUGAGUAAUACAUCGGAACGUGCCCAGUCGUGGGGGAUAACGUAGCGAAAGCUACGCUAAUACCGCAUACGAUCUAAGGAUGAAAGCGGGGGAUCGCAAGACCUCGCGCGAUUGGAGCGGACGAUGGCAGAUUAGGUGGUUGGUAGGGUAAAGGCCUACCAAGCCGACGAUCUGUAGCUGGUCUGAGAGGAUGAUCGGCCACACUGGGACUGAGACACGGCCCCGACUCCUACGGGAGGCAGCAGUGGGGAAUUUUGGACAAUGGGCGCAAGCCUGAUCCAGCCAUUCCGCGUGCAGGAUGAAGGCCUUCGGGUUGUAAACUGCUUUUGUACAGAACGAAAAGGCUCUGGUUAAUACCCGGGGCUCAUGACGGUACUGUAAGAAUAAGCACCGGCUAACUUCGUGCCAGCCGCCGCAGUAA